CCUCCACCAAUCCCCUGGACUGUAACUGUUAGGUUGAAUGCCCUCCACCAAUACCCUGGACUGUAACUGUUAGGUUGAAUGCCCUCCACCAAUACCCUGGACUGUAACUGUUAGGUUGAAUGCCCUCCACCAAUACCCUGGACUGUAACUGUUAGGUUGAAUGCCCUCCACCAAUACCCUGGACUGUAACUGUUAGGUUGAAUGCCCUCCUCCAAUCCCCUGGACUGUAACUGUUAGGUUGAAUGCCCUCCACCAAUACCCUGGACUGUAACUGUUAGGUUGAAUGCCCUCCUCCAAUCCCCUGGACUGUUACUGUUAGGUUGAAUGCCCUCCACCAAUCCCCUGGACUGUUACUGUUAGGUUGAAUGCCCUCCACCAAUACCCUGGACUGUAACUGUUAGGUUGAAUGCCCUCCUCCAAUCCCCUGGACUGUUACUGUUAGGUUGAAU
This 449-nucleotide long non-coding RNA is filed under the name Salmo salar (Atlantic salmon). Its description in RNAcentral is "lncRNA (ENSSSAG00000089344.1)". Lineage: Eukaryota; Metazoa; Chordata; Actinopteri; Salmoniformes; Salmonidae. The record is from RNAcentral.